This 917-nucleotide unclassified non-coding RNA is filed under the name Hevea brasiliensis (rubber tree). The record is from RNAcentral. Lineage: Eukaryota; Viridiplantae; Streptophyta; Magnoliopsida; Malpighiales; Euphorbiaceae.
CGAAAACUCGCAAAUCUUCUCAUAGAAGCAGACGCACCCUUUAUUAUUGUAAUAACUAUAAAAGGAAAAAAAGGAAUUAUUGUCGCUUUUCUUCCUGUCGAUUUGGGACUCGGACGAUUAACUGUGACUGCGAGUCAUGACUAGACCGCCGCCGUCGAGUUUGGGUGUCUCUUCUGCCAAGCGAUUAAGCGUUUUUGAUUUCACUGACGAUGAUGAGCGUGUUGAGAAGUUGUCUGAGAAGAUUCUUAGGAAAUUUGGAGAACCUAAGAGAAGGCGAGACUUCUCCUCUUCUCCUAUCACCAAGGAUAAGUUUAUUGAGUUUUUUGCAGGACGUACUAGGGCUCAAGAAAAGGAAGGUGCCAAUGAACAUUUUGUUGUUGAAAUUGACCCUAUCAUUGUUGACAAUGAACCUGUUGAUGUUGACAUGAGACUUGCUGAAGGGAUCAAGGCUCCACGCCAGGAAAUUAGUGACGAAUCAGUAGAUAUAGAUACUAAUGGUGCAAGCCAUCCUCACAAACUUUCUGUUUCACCUCCUAUGUCCACUCUACUAGAAGAUAUGUCCACUCUACAAGAAGAUGGUGCGGUAAAGGAGACUUUUUGUGUGGACGCACUGGUGCUAUCUGGUUCUCCAAAUUUUGAGAACAAGUCAGUAGACAUGAUUUCAGAUGACGAUGAUGGAAGUGAAGCAAGUUAUGCAUCGAUUUCCCUCUCCACUCUCGAAUGGACUGCAGUUCCAUCAAAAGAUCCAGUACCAGAGUGUUCUUCUGUUGGACAUAAUAUUGAUAUUUUAAAUAAUAAAGUUGUUGUUUUCCCCGAUUUUGUACUAUACAAAGACAUAUAUUGUACAGAGUCCCACUUAACAUUCUCAAGAAGUUGCAUCAGAGUUGAGGGUGCCACUGUAAAUGGGGCCAAGGGAA